Molecule: long non-coding RNA, 1503 nt
Organism: Papaver somniferum (opium poppy)
Lineage: Eukaryota; Viridiplantae; Streptophyta; Magnoliopsida; Ranunculales; Papaveraceae
Exons: 5
Source: RefSeq, a predicted model, not a curated record
AACCUAGAGACUCUUCACCCCGCUCAACCUUACCGUAUCAUAUUCCUCGUAUUAAAACACUUUCCCGCUCCCAUCAUGACCCUUUCUCGGUCGCGCGAGAAACCUUUGAAUAGACGUACCCUACUCGAAACUAGCGUCGCAACCACAAACCAACAGGUUUUGUGUUUGAAGAAGCCAAAGGUGUUUGAUUGAAUUCCGCAAUGGAAAAUUCAUCUCGUGUGACCGAAAAGAUGCGUGAACUUGAGCUAGAGGAAAAAUUUCUAGAUUUUCCACCGCAUAAUCCACAUACGGAAGAAGACUCUGUUAGGCAUGUAUAUAUUGAUUUUCCACCACAUGAUCCACAUAUGGAAGAAGACUCUGAUAGUGAAGAGGAAGUUUGGAUUUCAAAGUCCCGCAAGAGAAGAGGUUUAAGUAAUAUGUAUGAGGCGGGAGAGGAAGAGGAAGAUUUUUCUCCUCAGGAACUUGGUCCAUGCACUCUGUCUGUGGGGAAUUACAAGAAUGGCAAAACGCUGAGUUGUUUUUAGUUAGGGCUUCUCAGAAAUAAUGAGCUAUGCAUAAGCACUUUAUUCAUGCACGCCGAUCCCAAUAAAAAGUUUUUCACGUACAGUGAUAUGGACUAUAUCUUUCUGAGAUGGCCAUUCCCGGGGGUAAGUAUAAAGAAGAAGCUAGAAACCAUACAACCGUUUGGGGUUCCUGGAGGAAAGAUCAUCAGUGGGGUUACAAGUGCUGCCAGCAGGUUACAAGGAACAGUUAUUGCACGAGAACUGCUGGUGUUAAGGCCAAUGCUGCAAGUCAUAAAAAAAGAAGAAGAAAGAAACCUGAAGCUAAUAGGUUUGAGGAUGUCGAAGAUUUCAUAGCCCGUUAUUGUGGAUAGUAGAUGCUCGAAAAGCUGACUUCCACCAGCUGAGAUCAUAGAAUAUGGGUAGAAAUAUCCUCUUUCCCUCCGUGUCUCUCUUCUGCAGCUUGAUGCCAAGUUUUGGUUAGACUGGCUCUUUGUAAUGUUUCUAGAUUCUCCACUUGUUUGGACAAGAGAUUUUGUGUCUGUAUUUUGUUUGAUGUUUUUCAUAUAUACUAAUAUAUCCCAUGUGCUUCAUAUUUUUCAGAGGUGCAUUCAUGAAGAAGUUCAAGACCACAGCCUCUAACUCCGCAUUACUGUAAUUGGGAUUAUUAGGAAAGUAGAAUCAUUCUUGUUCAAACGUGUCUUUGUAAAUGUCAGGUUUUAUCCUUUGGUCAGGCAUUAGAGCGUUACGUUGCUUUAACAUCAAUGUUCUGAGUUUGUGCCUAAUGGGUCUUAGGGGUCUGAUCGUCUUCCAUACUCUCCUGAGCAUUGUACAAUACUACAAUUUAUAGAAUUUUUUCUUUCUUUAAAAGGCAGCAUGCUCCUCCAAGAUAAACCUAGUUUGAAUAUUGAAACUCCAAGGCAAAUAUGUCAGAACCCAUAACAUGUUGAGAAGUAUUAACUGUCUUUAAACUGAACAAAAUUUAAUAUGAGACCUUCUUUAC